ACAGGAUGCACUGUUUCCCAGACGUUUUUGAAAAUAGAGCAUAUAUAAAAAUUUCCUGUCUCGGAAGCUAAGCAGUGUCAGGCCUGGUUAGUACUUGGAUGGGACACCACCUAAGAAGACCAGGUGCUGUA
This is a ribosomal RNA of Pteropus vampyrus (large flying fox), 131 nucleotides long. NCBI's taxonomy places the organism in Eukaryota, Metazoa, Chordata, Mammalia, Chiroptera, Pteropodidae. The record is from Ensembl.